Molecule: ribosomal RNA, 474 nt
Filed under: uncultured bacterium
Lineage: Bacteria
Description: bacterial SSU rRNA
Rfam family: Bacterial small subunit ribosomal RNA
Source: RNAcentral
AACGAACGCUGGCGGCGCGUCUUAAGCAUGCAAGUCGAACGGCAUGAGGAAGCUUGCUUCCUCAGAGAGUGGCGGACUGGUGAGUAACACGUGGGUGACCUACCCUUGAGAUGGGGAUAGCCAUUAGAAAUAGUGGAUAAUACCGAAUACGCUCUACGGACUCUGGUUUGUAGAGGAAACAGGCUACGGCCUGGCUCGAGGAUGGGCCCGCGUCCCAUUAGCUAGUUGGUGAGGUAAGAGCCCACCAAGGCGACGAUGGGUAUCCGGCCUGAGAGGGUGAACGGCCACACUGGGACUGAGACACGGCCCAGACUCCUACGGGAGGCAGCAGUAGGGAAUAUUGCGCAAUGGGCGGAAGCCUGACGCAGCGACGCCGCGUGAGCGAAGAAGGCCUUCGGGUCGUAAAGCUCUGUCCUUGGGGAAGAAGGCGAAAGCUUGACGGUACCCAAGAAGAAAGCCCCGGCUAACUACGUG